RNAcentral lists this ribosomal RNA (120 nucleotides) under uncultured bacterium. RNAcentral describes it as "partial 16S ribosomal RNA". It matches the Rfam family "Bacterial small subunit ribosomal RNA", at positions 29 to 147 of the family's 1533-position model. The record is from RNAcentral.
AAUGAACGCUGGCGGCGUGCUUAACACAUGCAAGUCGUGCGCGAAAGCGGCUUCGGCCGCAAGUAGAGCGGCGAACGGGUGAGUAACACGUGGGUAAUCUGUCCUCGAGUGGGGGAUAAC